GCCAUCGUGGCUCAAUGGUAGGGCGUCGCUUUCCUACUGAAUUGUGUAGUAGGCGAAGAUUGCGGGUUCGAGUCCCGUCGUUGGUA
Molecule: non-coding RNA, 86 nt
Organism: Abortiporus biennis
Lineage: Eukaryota; Fungi; Basidiomycota; Agaricomycetes; Polyporales; Podoscyphaceae
Source: the annotation of a GenBank genome assembly